Molecule: ribosomal RNA, 492 nt
Filed under: uncultured bacterium
Lineage: Bacteria
Description: partial 16S ribosomal RNA
Rfam family: Bacterial small subunit ribosomal RNA
Source: RNAcentral
AUUGAACGCUGGCGGCAUGCUUUACACAUGCAAGUCGAACGGUAACAGGCCUUCGGGUGCUGACGAGUGGCGAACGGGUGAGUAAUGCAUCGGAACGUGCCCAGAGGUGGGGGAUAACGCAGCGAAAGCUGUGCUAAUACUGCAUGUGAUCUGAGGAUGAAAGCGGGGGACCAAGCAGCAAUGUUUGGCCUCGCGCCUCUGGAGCGGCCGAUGUCAGAUUAGGUAGUUGGUGGGGUAAAGGCCUACCAAGCCGACGAUCUGUAGCUGGUCUGAGAGGACGACCAGCCACACUGGGACUGAGACACGGCCCAGACUCCUACGGGAGGCAGCAGUGGGGAAUUUUGGACAAUGGGCGCAAGCCUGAUCCAGCAAUGCCGCGUGCGGGAAGAAGGCCUUCGGGUUGUAAACCGCUUUUGUACGGAACGAAAAGGCUCUGGCUAAUACCUGGGGCUGAUGACGGUACCGUAAGAAUAAGCACCGGCUAACUACGUG